AUGGUAGCACAUGAGUUUAUUAUUAAAAAUGAUGAUAAGAUGCUUUUGUAUAAUUUGAGAUUUCAUAAGAAACACAAUGAGACUAUUAUCUUGCCUGCGCCUUCUUUGUUUGAUUUAACCGCAGGCCCUUAUCUUGUCUUGCCGGAAGCCGUCUAUGCGCUCCGUGGCCAGACAUCAGCUCCAGAGCCUGAGCCGGAACCACCACUUGACCCUUAUCGACCAUCUAGUUGUCAGUGGGAUCCGGAGGAGAUCGCCAGCCAGUGGCAGUCUGAUGACACAUCUCAAUAUGACCCCAGUUACAACUUCGGAUAUCAGCCAGGCUACCCAUGGCCAUAG
RNAcentral lists this ribosomal RNA (336 nucleotides) under Triticum aestivum (bread wheat). RNAcentral's name for it is "partial small subunit ribosomal RNA". The record is from RNAcentral. Lineage: Eukaryota; Viridiplantae; Streptophyta; Magnoliopsida; Poales; Poaceae.